This 2902-nucleotide ribosomal RNA is filed under the name Shigella flexneri S6162. Its description in RNAcentral is "bacterial LSU rRNA". It matches the Rfam family "Bacterial large subunit ribosomal RNA". Lineage: Bacteria; Pseudomonadati; Pseudomonadota; Gammaproteobacteria; Enterobacterales; Enterobacteriaceae. The record is from RNAcentral.
UUAAGCGACUAAGCGUACACGGUGGAUGCCCUGGCAGUCAGAGGCGAUGAAGGACGUGCUAAUCUGCGAUAAGCGUCGGUAAGGUGAUAUGAACCGUUAUAACCGGCGAUUUCCGAAUGGGGAAACCCAGUGUGAUUCGUCACACUAUCAUUAACUGAAUCCAUAGGUUAAUGAGGCGAACCGGGGGAACUGAAACAUCUAAGUACCCCGAGGAAAAGAAAUCAACCGAGAUUCCCCCAGUAGCGGCGAGCGAACGGGGAGCAGCCCAGAGCCUGAAUCAGUGUGUGUGUUAGUGGAAGCGUCUGGAAAGGCGCGCGAUACAGGGUGACAGCCCCGUACACAAAAAUGCACAUGCUGUGAGCUCGAUGAGUAGGGCGGGACACGUGGUAUCCUGUCUGAAUAUGGGGGGACCAUCCUCCAAGGCUAAAUACUCCUGACUGACCGAUAGUGAACCAGUACCGUGAGGGAAAGGCGAAAAGAACCCCGGCGAGGGGAGUGAAAAAGAACCUGAAACCGUGUACGUACAAGCAGUGGGAGCACGCUUAGGCGUGUGACUGCGUACCUUUUGUAUAAUGGGUCAGCGACUUAUAUUCUGUAGCAAGGUUAACCGAAUAGGGGAGCCGAAGGGAAACCGAGUCUUAACUGGGCGUUAAGUUGCAGGGUAUAGACCCGAAACCCGGUGAUCUAGCCAUGGGCAGGUUGAAGGUUGGGUAACACUAACUGGAGGACCGAACCGACUAAUGUUGAAAAAUUAGCGGAUGACUUGUGGCUGGGGGUGAAAGGCCAAUCAAACCGGGAGAUAGCUGGUUCUCCCCGAAAGCUAUUUAGGUAGCGCCUCGUGAAUUCAUCUCCGGGGGUAGAGCACUGUUUCGGCAAGGGGGUCAUCCCGACUUACCAACCCGAUGCAAACUGCGAAUACCGGAGAAUGUUAUCACGGGAGACACACGGCGGGUGCUAACGUCCGUCGUGAAGAGGGAAACAACCCAGACCGCCAGCUAAGGUCCCAAAGUCAUGGUUAAGUGGGAAACGAUGUGGGAAGGCCCAGACAGCCAGGAUGUUGGCUUAGAAGCAGCCAUCAUUUAAAGAAAGCGUAAUAGCUCACUGGUCGAGUCGGCCUGCGCGGAAGAUGUAACGGGGCUAAACCAUGCACCGAAGCUGCGGCAGCGACGCUUAUGCGUUGUUGGGUAGGGGAGCGUUCUGUAAGCCUGUGAAGGUGUACUGUGAGGUAUGCUGGAGGUAUCAGAAGUGCGAAUGCUGACAUAAGUAACGAUAAAGCGGGUGAAAAGCCCGCUCGCCGGAAGACCAAGGGUUCCUGUCCAACGUUAAUCGGGGCAGGGUGAGUCGACCCCUAAGGCGAGGCCGAAAGGCGUAGUCGAUGGGAAACAGGUUAAUAUUCCUGUACUUGGUGUUACUGCGAAGGGGGGACGGAGAAGGCUAUGUUGGCCGGGCGACGGUUGUCCCGGUUUAAGCGUGUAGGCUGGUUUUCCAGGCAAAUCCGGAAAAUCAAGGCCGAGGCGUGAUGACGAGGCACUACGGUGCUGAAGCAACAAAUGCCCUGCUUCCAGGAAAAGCCUCUAAGCAUCAGGUAACAUCAAAUCGUACCCCAAACCGACACAGGUGGUCAGGUAGAGAAUACCAAGGCGCUUGAGAGAACUCGGGUGAAGGAACUAGGCAAAAUGGUGCCGUAACUUCGGGAGAAGGCACGCUGAUACGUAGGUGAAGCGACUUGCUCGUGGAGCUGAAAUCAGUCGAAGAUACCAGCUGGCUGCAACUGUUUAUUAAAAACACAGCACUGUGCAAACACGAAAGUGGACGUAUACGGUGUGACGCCUGCCCGGUGCCGGAAGGUUAAUUGAUGGGGUUAGCGCAAGCGAAGCUCUUGAUCGAAGCCCCGGUAAACGGCGGCCGUAACUAUAACGGUCCUAAGGUAGCGAAAUUCCUUGUCGGGUAAGUUCCGACCUGCACGAAUGGCGUAAUGAUGGCCAGGCUGUCUCCACCCGAGACUCAGUGAAAUUGAACUCGCUGUGAAGAUGCAGUGUACCCGCGGCAAGACGGAAAGACCCCGUGAACCUUUACUAUAGCUUGACACUGAACAUUGAGCCUUGAUGUGUAGGAUAGGUGGGAGGCUUUGAAGUGUGGACGCCAGUCUGCAUGGAGCCGACCUUGAAAUACCACCCUUUAAUGUUUGAUGUUCUAACGUGGACCCGUGAUCCGGGUUGCGGACAGUGUCUGGUGGGUAGUUUGACUGGGGCGGUCUCCUCCUAAAGAGUAACGGAGGAGCACGAAGGUUGGCUAAUCCUGGUCGGACAUCAGGAGGUUAGUGCAAUGGCAUAAGCCAGCUUGACUGCGAGCGUGACGGCGCGAGCAGGUGCGAAAGCAGGUCAUAGUGAUCCGGUGGUUCUGAAUGGAAGGGCCAUCGCUCAACGGAUAAAAGGUACUCCGGGGAUAACAGGCUGAUACCGCCCAAGAGUUCAUAUCGACGGCGGUGUUUGGCACCUCGAUGUCGGCUCAUCACAUCCUGGGGCUGAAGUAGGUCCCAAGGGUAUGGCUGUUCGCCAUUUAAAGUGGUACGCGAGCUGGGUUUAGAACGUCGUGAGACAGUUCGGUCCCUAUCUGCCGUGGGCGCUGGAGAACUGAGGGGGGCUGCUCCUAGUACGAGAGGACCGGAGUGGACGCAUCACUGGUGUUCGGGUUGUCAUGCCAAUGGCACUGCCCGGUAGCUAAAUGCGGAAGAGAUAAGUGCUGAAAGCAUCUAAGCACGAAACUUGCCCCGAGAUGAGUUCUCCCUGACCCUUUAAGGGUCCUGAAGGAACGUUGAAGACGACGACGUUGAUAGGCCGGGUGUGUAAGCGCAGCGAUGCGUUGAGCUAACCGGUACUAAUGAACCGUGAGGCUUAACCUU